UUUCCUAAUAUCCAGUCUGAACUUCCCCUGGCACAACUUGAGGCCAUUUCCUCUCAUCCUAUCAUUUGCUACUUGGGAGAAGAGACCAACACCCUCCAUGCUACAACCUCCUUUCAGGUAGCUGUAGACAGUGAUAAGGUCUCCCCUCAGCCUCCUUCUCUCCAGGCUAAACAGCCCCAGUUCUUUCAACUGCUCCUCAUCAGACUUUGCUCCAGACCCCUCAUCAGCCUUGUGUGAUGUGCCUGCCUUUUGAUUUUUGAGGGUGACAGAAGAAGUGAGUCCAAACGAGCAUUGGGUCCUAUGUCAGAAAGAAGUAGUGCAAACUCCCAAGGAGAAGCUACAUAAGAAGAGGGACAAUCUUCCAGACACAUGUAAAAUACACUAAUUGUUCCAUGAAGGCCAUGAAGAUGAUGUGACAGCCAAGGAGAGAUAAUUUUUUCAGUUGGAAUGAGUAAUAUGGCAACAAGCUUGCAGUUUCUCCAUCACAAUCACACAAAUAAAAUCUUACCAAACUAA
Molecule: long non-coding RNA, 516 nt
Organism: Columba livia (rock pigeon)
Lineage: Eukaryota; Metazoa; Chordata; Aves; Columbiformes; Columbidae
Exons: 2
Source: RefSeq, a predicted model, not a curated record